GGACAACAGUUGGAAACGACUGCUAAUACCGCAUAAGCGCACAGCUUCGCAUGAAGCAGUGUGAAAAACUCCGGUGGUACAAGAUGGACCCGCGUCUGAUUAGCUGGUUGGUGAGGUAACGGCCCACCAAGGCGACGAUCAGUAGCCGGCCUGAGAGGGUGAACGGCCACAUUGGGACUGAGACACGGCCCAAACUCCUACGGGAGGCAGCAGUGGGGAAUAUUGCACAAUGGGGGAAACCCUGAUGCAGCAACGCCGCGUGAGUGAAGAAGUAUUUCGGUAUGUAAAGCUCUAUCAGCAGGAAAGAAAAUGACGGUACCUGACUAAGAAGCCCCGGCUAACUACGUGCCAGCAGCCGCGGUAAUACGUAGGGGGCAAGCGUUAUCCGGAUUUACUGGGUGUAAAGGGAGCGUAGACGGUUUUGCAAGUCUGAAGUGAAAGCCCGGGGCUUAACCCCGGGACUGCUUUGGAAACUGUAGAACUAGAGUGCAGGAGAGGUAAGUGGAAUUCCUAGUGUAGCGGUGAAAUGCGUAGAUAUUAGGAGGAACACCAGUGGCGAAGGCGGCUUACUGGACUGUAACUGACGUUGAGGCUCGAAAGCGUGGGGAGCAAACAGGAUUAGAUACCCUGGUAGUCCACGCCGUAAACG
This 649-nucleotide ribosomal RNA is filed under the name uncultured bacterium. Its description in RNAcentral is "bacterial SSU rRNA". It matches the Rfam family "Bacterial small subunit ribosomal RNA", at positions 141 to 808 of the family's 1533-position model. The record is from RNAcentral.